CCUACGGGGGACUGCAGUGGGGAAUAUUGGACAAUGGGGGGAACCCUGAUCCAGCCAUGCCGCGUGUGUGAAGAAGGCCCUCGGGUUGUAAAGCACUUUCAGUGAGGAAGAACGCCUGGUGGUUAAUACCCAUCAGGAAAGACAUCACUCACAGAAGAAGCACCGGCUAACUCCGUGCCAGCAGCCGCGGUAAUACGGAGGGUGCGAGCGUUAAUCGGAAUUACUGGGCGUAAAGCGCGCGUAGGUGGCUUGAUAAGCCGGUUGUGAAAGCCCCGGGCUCAACCUGGGAACGGCAUCCGGAACUGUCAAGCUAGAGUGCAGGAGAGGAAGGUAGAAUUCCCGGUGUAGCGGUGAAAUGCGUAGAGAUCGGGAGGAAUACCAGUGGCGAAGGCGGCCUUCUGGACUGACACUGACACUGAGGUGCGAAAGCGUGGGUAGCAAACAGGAUUAGAUACCCCUGUAGUC
RNAcentral lists this ribosomal RNA (465 nucleotides) under Vreelandella stevensii. RNAcentral's name for it is "partial 16S ribosomal RNA". It matches the Rfam family "Bacterial small subunit ribosomal RNA", at positions 338 to 795 of the family's 1533-position model. The record is from RNAcentral. Lineage: Bacteria; Pseudomonadati; Pseudomonadota; Gammaproteobacteria; Oceanospirillales; Halomonadaceae.